AAAUGAACCAUAAUAAAAGAUUCACAAUAUUAUCUCUGACAAUGUUGCAAAUUAAAGAUUCAAAGAAACAAAACAUGGAACAGAAAUACUGGAAUAACUUCAUCUUACAUGUUGAAAAUUAUGAUGGCACCAUAAAGGAAACAAUUGUCCAUGAAAAACAGACUCUUAAGGUCUCCUCAGGACAGGAUACAGUAAAAGUUGUAUCAGCUCAUUCUGGCUUUUUCAUUCCUGUAUUUUAGAAGCAGAUUGUGUUUUUUUACUUCACUACCACAAUAACAAGAUUUUUUUAAGUAACGCCAUGUAUGAUGGUGGCAAAUCGUGACCUUUAACAUUGUGAUUCAUGAUGGACUCGUAUAUUUUCCCAUCCUUAUAAAGCAGGACCCAGAGCCUCAGGGCUCCUCUGGUCACAAGGUCCCCCGGUGUCCUACAAGCCAGAGAGGUUCAGAAAUGUUGAACAAAGUGACCAAAUACAAUUCUUAUUGUUUCUUUGAUACUGUAGAGAGUGGAGACUAACAUCUGGAGCAAUAUGUAGAGAACUAUAAACCAAUGCUUUCAGACCUUUGCACCUUCCUCAGAGGCCAACCGCAGCAAUUUGGACUCUUGGCCUCAGUAUUUUCUAAUAUGCUGUUCAUACUAAAUGAUAAAUAUGCUGUUCAUAGGAGUUAGGGUUUACUUAGGACUGCUUCAAAUCAGAUCCUCUUACUUUGAAGGGCAUAAAGUCAACUCGUUUGUUGGACUGAUGGGGAAACGGAGCCAAGAAGAGCCAGGCUCGUACGAGUGGAGCACAUUACAAACGUACGACAGGCGCCGCUAAGCGCCCCAUCCCCCCAUCCCCCAGCGGCCUGCAUCUCAUCGAGCCAUUCCUCAUCCUAGGGAGUGGAUACCCGACGCUGGUUCAUGUUUUCCCCUCAAACUGGAUAGCUGCUAGUCGAGUAAAAAUUAUUCUGUUUGCACAUUGUAGUGACGUAGGGGUGCUGUGCCCGUCUUCAUUUGGUCGAGGAGCGGGGGAAAUGGCCCCCACAUCGAUGUUUUCUGUGAGCGUUUUCCACAUCUGCCAUGCUACAAAAGACUUAACUGUUGUUGUGAACCAUCAAAGCAAGGCUUUGCUCUCUGAGUAUGCUCAAAGUGUAUAGUGCCUCAUUUCUGUUUAAUUACUGCUUCUGAUUGUCUUCUAAAUACAUUUCGGUUUUAAAGUGGCUUUUAGAAGUUCUCCAGCUAAACACAGGAUACGUGUGUGUGUGUGUUUGUCAUUGUUUAACAAAAAUAAAAUUAUUUUCUUUACUGGUUCAACUCAA
This is an RNA transcript of Pungitius pungitius (ninespine stickleback), 1295 nucleotides long. RefSeq lists it as uncharacterized. The transcript is spliced from 2 exons. The record is from RefSeq and is a predicted model, not a curated record. Lineage: Eukaryota; Metazoa; Chordata; Actinopteri; Perciformes; Gasterosteidae.